UGGGGGAUAUUGCGCAAUGGGGGAAACCCUGACGCAGCAACGCCGCGUGAAGGAAGAAGGCCUUCGGGUCGUAAACUUUUGUCCUCAGGGAAGAAGAACUGACGGUACCUGAGGAGGAAGCCACGGCUAACUACGUGCCAGCAGCCGCGGUAAUACGUAGGUGGCGAGCGUUGUCCGGAUUUACUGGGUGUAAAGGGCGUGUAGGCGGGAUGGCAAGUCAGGUGUGAAAUACCAAGGCUUAACCUUGGGGGUGCACUUGAAACUGCUGUUCUUGAGUGUCGGAGAGGAAAGCGGAAUUCCUAGUGUAGCGGUGAAAUGCGUAGAUAUUAGGAGGAACACCAGUGGCGAAGGCGGCUUUCUGGACGAUAACUGACGCUGAGGCGCGAAAGCGUGGGGAGCAAACAGG
Molecule: ribosomal RNA, 406 nt
Filed under: uncultured bacterium
Lineage: Bacteria
Description: bacterial SSU rRNA
Rfam family: Bacterial small subunit ribosomal RNA
Source: RNAcentral